Molecule: ribosomal RNA, 497 nt
Filed under: uncultured bacterium
Lineage: Bacteria
Description: partial 16S ribosomal RNA
Rfam family: Bacterial small subunit ribosomal RNA
Source: RNAcentral
GAUGAACGCUGGCGGCGUGCCUAAUACAUGCAAGUCGAGCGAACAGACGAGGAGCUUGCUCCUCUGACGUUAGCGGCGGGCGGGUGAGUAACACGUGGAUAACCUACCUAUAAGACUGGGAUAACUUCGGGAAACCGGAGCUAAUACUGGAUAACAUGUUGAACCGCAUGGUUCAACAGGGAAAGACGGUCUGGCUGUCACUUAUAGAUGGAUCCGCGCCGCAUUAGCUAGUUGGUAAGGUAACGGCUUACCAAGGCAACGAUGCGUAGCCGACCUGAGAGGGUGAUCGGCCACACUGGAACUGAGACACGGUCCAGACUCCUACGGGAGGCAGCAGUAGGGAAUCUGCCGCAAUGGGCGGAAGCCUGACGGAGCAACGCCGCGUGAGUGAAGAAGGUCUUCGGAUCGUAAAGCCCUGUUAUUAGGGAAGAACAACUGUGUAAGUAACUAUGCACGUAUUGACGGUACCUAAUCAGAAAGCCCCGGCUAACUACGUG